AACGACGCUGGCGGCAGGCCUAACACAUGCAAGUCGAGCGAACCCUUCGGGGUUAGCGGCGGACGGGUUAGUAACGCGUGGGAAUAUACCCUUUGGUACGGAAUAGCCUCGGGAAACUGAGAGUAAUACCGUAUGUGCCCUUCGGGGGAAAGAUUUAUCGCCAAAGGAUUAGCCCGCGUUGGAUUAGAUAGUUGGUGGGGUAAUGGCCUACCAAGUCUACGAUCCAUAGCUGGUUUGAGAGGAUGAUCAGCAACACUGGGACUGAGACACGGCCCAGACUCCUACGGGAGGCAGCAGUGGGGAAUCUUAGACAAUGGGCGCAAGCCUGAUCUAGCCAUGCCGCGUGGACGAUGAAGGCCUUAGGGUUGUAAAGUCCUUUCAGAUGGGAAGAUAAUGACGGUACCAUCAGAAGAAGCCCCGGCUAACUCCGUG
Molecule: ribosomal RNA, 432 nt
Filed under: uncultured bacterium
Lineage: Bacteria
Description: bacterial SSU rRNA
Rfam family: Bacterial small subunit ribosomal RNA
Source: RNAcentral